UGAACUUUUUAAAAAACAAAAAGAUUGCUUUUAAUUUCCAUUUAAUGAAAAUAAUUCUCUACUAUUAUCUAAUAAAUCAUCCCUUCAUAGAUGAAGAAUGGUGUGUGUGUGUGUGUGUGUGUGUGUGUGUGUGUUUCAA
Molecule: non-coding RNA, 139 nt
Organism: Podarcis lilfordi (Lilford's wall lizard)
Lineage: Eukaryota; Metazoa; Chordata; Lepidosauria; Squamata; Lacertidae
Source: the annotation of a GenBank genome assembly